This 253-nucleotide ribosomal RNA is filed under the name uncultured bacterium. RNAcentral's name for it is "partial 16S ribosomal RNA". It matches the Rfam family "Bacterial small subunit ribosomal RNA", at positions 524 to 776 of the family's 1533-position model. The record is from RNAcentral.
UACGGAGGGUGCGAGCGUUAAUCGGAAUUACUGGGCGUAAAGCGCACGCAGGUGGUUGGGUAAGUCGGAUGUGAAAGCCCUGGGCUUAACCUGGGAACUGCAUUCGAUACUGCCCGGCUAGAGUAUGGGAGAGGGAAGCGGAAUUUCCGGUGUAGCGGUGAAAUGUGUAGAUAUCGGAAGGAACACCAAUGGCGAAGGCAGCUUCCUGGCCCAAUACUGACGCUCAGGUGCGAAAGCGUGGGGAUCAAACAGG